This 87-nucleotide transfer RNA is filed under the name Oscillospiraceae bacterium. RNAcentral describes it as "tRNA-Leu". It matches the Rfam family "tRNA". From Rfam's summary of the family: Transfer RNA (tRNA) molecules are approximately 80 nucleotides in length. Their secondary structure includes four short double-helical elements and three loops (D, anti-codon, and T loops). Further hydrogen bonds mediate the characteristic L-shaped molecular structure. tRNAs have two regions of fundamental functional importance: the anti-codon, which is responsible for specific mRNA codon recognition, and the 3' end, to which the tRNAs corresponding amino acid is attached (by aminoacyl-tRNA synthetases). tRNAs cope with the degeneracy of the genetic code in two manners: having more than one tRNA (with a specific anti-codon) for a particular amino acid; and 'wobble' base-pairing, i.e. permitting non-standard base-pairing at the 3rd anti-codon position. Lineage: Bacteria; Bacillati; Bacillota; Clostridia; Eubacteriales; Oscillospiraceae. The record is from RNAcentral.
GCCGCUGUGGUGGAAUUGGCAGACACCUUGGACUUAAAAUCCAAUGCUGGCAACAGCGUACCGGUUCGAGCCCGGUCAGCGGCACCA